GGGGAUUUAGCUCAGUGAUAGAGCGCUUGCCUAGCAAGCGCAAGGCCCUGGAUUCAGUCCCCA
RNAcentral lists this transfer RNA (63 nucleotides) under Rattus norvegicus (Norway rat). It matches the Rfam family "tRNA". From Rfam's summary of the family: Transfer RNA (tRNA) molecules are approximately 80 nucleotides in length. Their secondary structure includes four short double-helical elements and three loops (D, anti-codon, and T loops). Lineage: Eukaryota; Metazoa; Chordata; Mammalia; Rodentia; Muridae. The record is from Rfam by way of RNAcentral.